Molecule: ribosomal RNA, 480 nt
Filed under: uncultured bacterium
Lineage: Bacteria
Description: partial 16S ribosomal RNA
Rfam family: Bacterial small subunit ribosomal RNA
Source: RNAcentral
GACGAACGCUGGCGGCGCGCUUAACACAUGCAAGUCGAGCGAUGAAACUUUAACAGAACCCUUCGGGGCGAAGAUAAAGUGGAUUAGCGGCGGACGGGUGAGUAACACGUGAGUAACCUGCCUUAGACAUUGGGAUAGCCUCGGGAAACCGGGAUUAAUACCAAAUAAAAUCAUAAUGACACAUGUCAUAACGAUCAAAACUCCGGUGGUCUAAGAUGGACUCGCGUCCCAUUAGCUAGUUGGUAGAGUAAAAGCCUACCAAGGCGGCGAUGGGUAGCCGGCCUGAGAGGGUGAACGGCCACAUUGGAACUGAGAAACGGUCCAAACUCCUACGGGAGGCAGCAGUGGGGAAUAUUGCACAAUGGAGGGAACUCUGAUGCAGCGACGCCGCGUGAACGAAGAAGGCUUUCGAGUCGUAAAGUUCUUUUAUAUGGGAAGAUAAUGACGGUACCAUAGGAAAAAGCCCCGGCUAACUACGUG